RNAcentral lists this ribosomal RNA (425 nucleotides) under uncultured bacterium. Its description in RNAcentral is "partial 16S ribosomal RNA". It matches the Rfam family "Bacterial small subunit ribosomal RNA", at positions 354 to 796 of the family's 1533-position model. The record is from RNAcentral.
GUGGGGAAUAUUGGACAAUGGGCGCAAGCCUGAUCCAGCCAUGCCGCGUGAGUGAUGAAGGCCCUAGGGUUGUAAAGCUCUUUCGCCAGGGACGAUAAUGACGGUACCUGGAUAAGAAGCCCCGGCUAACUUCGUGCCAGCAGCCGCGGUAAUACGAAGGGGGCUAGCGUUGUUCGGAAUCACUGGGCGUAAAGCGCACGUAGGCGGAUCUUUAAGUCAGGGGUGAAAUCCCGAGGCUCAACCUCGGAACUGCCUUUGAUACUGGGGAUCUCGAGUCCGGGAGAGGUGAGUGGAACUGCGAGUGUAGAGGUGAAAUUCGUAGAUAUUCGCAAGAACACCAGUGGCGAAGGCGGCUCACUGGCCCGGUACUGACGCUGAGGUGCGAAAGCGUGGGGAGCAAACAGGAUUAGAUACCCUAGUAGUCC